UAGAACUUUGAUGGCGAAAGUCUGUAACUCCAUAGUCUCUGCACCAUAUGUGUCCCACUAUUCAACUAUAGAAGUCAAAAAAAUAUUCAAGAGUUAGUAAGUAUAAAAAAUACAUCAAAGUUCGAGUAAUAAAAUAUAGGAACACUUGGUAACCUGGCGACUUCUUCGUUCUUUGUUUAAUAGAAAGUCGAAGACCAAAAAGACCGUCCGCUGCCUUGUAAGUAGCAACCUGAUCUACUAUCUUGUCUUGCAACUCUUCAUCUGGGUUCAACUUGACAAUAACCUGAUGGAAUCCUGUCCACACUUCUUUAGCCAAUGAAUUCUUCUCAUGCUGCUCAUAAAA
RNAcentral lists this long non-coding RNA (343 nucleotides) under Nicotiana benthamiana. Its description in RNAcentral is "long non-coding RNA (NBEN_LNC002011)". The record is from RNAcentral. Lineage: Eukaryota; Viridiplantae; Streptophyta; Magnoliopsida; Solanales; Solanaceae.